RNAcentral lists this ribosomal RNA (892 nucleotides) under uncultured crenarchaeote. RNAcentral describes it as "bacterial SSU rRNA". It matches the Rfam family "Archaeal small subunit ribosomal RNA", at positions 1 to 879 of the family's 1478-position model. The record is from RNAcentral. Lineage: Archaea; Thermoproteati; Thermoproteota.
UUCCGGUUGAUCCUGCCGGACCCGACUGCUAUAUGGGUGAGAAUAAGCCAUGCGAGUUGAAUGGAAUACCUAAAUUUUCCAUGGCAAACUGCUCAGUAACACAUGAUCAACUUACCCUAUAGAGAAAAAUAACCUCGGGAAACUGAGGAUAAUGUUUCAUAGUUGAAAAGGCUUGGAAAAGUUUUUCAACAAAAGGGAUAAGAAAAAUGGUUUUUAUCUGCUAUAGGAUAGGAUCGUGUUCGAUUAUGGUUGUUGGUGAGGUAAUGGCUCACCAAGCCGAUAAUCGAUAGGGGCCGYGAGAGCGGGAGCCCCGAGAUGGGUACUGAGACAACGACCCAGGCCUUAUSAGGCGCAGCAGGCGCGAAACCUCCGCAAUACACGAAAGUGUGACGGGGUUACCCAAAGUGUUCAAUUUUGAACUGUGGUAGGUGAGUAAUGUUCCCUACUAGAGAGGAGAGGGCAAGGCUGGUGCCAGCCGCCGCGGUAAAACCAGCUCUUCAAGUGGUCGGGUUAAUUAUUGGGCUUAAAGUGUCCGUAGCCGGUUUAGUAAGUUCCUGGUAAAAUCGGGUAGCUUAACUAUCUAUAUGCUAGGAAUACUACUAUACUAGAGGGCGGGAGAGGUCUGAGGUACUACAGGGGUAGGGGUGGAAUCUUAUAAUCCUUGUUGGACCACCAGUGGCGAAGGCGUCAGACUGGAACGCGCCUGACGGUGAGGGACGAAAGCCAGGGGAGCGAACCGGAUUAGAUACCCGGGUAGUCCUGGCCGUAAACGAUGCAUACUAGGUGAUGGCACGGCCAUGAGCCGUGUCAGUGCCGUAGGGAAACCGUUAAGUGUGCCGCCUGGGAAGUACGGUCGCAAGGCUAAAACUUAAAGGAAUUGGCGGGGGAGCAC